This 497-nucleotide ribosomal RNA is filed under the name uncultured bacterium. RNAcentral's name for it is "partial 16S ribosomal RNA". It matches the Rfam family "Bacterial small subunit ribosomal RNA", at positions 28 to 507 of the family's 1533-position model. The record is from RNAcentral.
GACGAACGCUGGCGGCGUGCCUAAUACAUGCAAGUAGAACGCUGAAGCGAGGAGCUUGCUCUUCUUGGAUGAGUUGCGAACGGGUGAGUAACGCGUAGGUAACCUGCCUUGUAGCGGGGGAUAACUAUUGGAAACGAUAGCUAAUACCGCAUAACAAUGGAUGACACAUGUCAUUUAUUUGAAAGGGGCAAUUGCUCCACUACAAGAUGGACCUGCGUUGUAUUAGCUAGUAGGUGAGGUAAUGGCUCACCUAGGCGACGAUACAUAGCCGACCUGAGAGGGUGAUCGGCCACACUGGGACUGAGGCACGGCCCAGACUCCUACGGGAGGCAGCAGUAGGGAAUCUUCGGCAAUGGGGGCAACCCUGACCGAGCAACGCCGCGUGAGUGAAGAAGGUUUUCGGAUCGUAAAGCUCUGUUGUAAGUCAAGAACGGGUGUGAGAGUGGAAAGUUCACACUGUGACGGUAGCUUACCAGAAAGGGACGGCUAACUACGUG